CUUGCAAGUAUGUCCGCGACGUCCAAGUUCCUCAGCAGCACGUCCCCUUGCUUGCCGCCUGAAGCCAGGUGACAGCAGACGAAGCAGAAGCUCGUGUCGUGCAGCACGAACCGGAUCGAAACAGAGCCCUGCAUGCGCAAAGCAACCCACACACGCCAUCCAGGCAGCCCAUGAUGCCCGAGCCGAUGCACGACGCAUCCAGGUGACGGAUGAGCGGCCUAAGGCUGCUUCUCGCCCACACCGACGUGAAGAUGCCGACCAUCUGCUUGCUCCUGAUGCAUCUGAAGCCCUGUGAUCCCUCCACAGAGCCUUCGUCGUCCUUGGCGCUGCUGUUCGUGUUCGCCCCGCCUUCUUCUCGACACCUUCUGUUGAGCGCCUCCCCGAUCAGCGAGUUCCACUUGGCAGACACGCGGCUCUUCCUAGGACCCAGCACAUUUCUCGCGUUCAGUGGCACUAUCUCCUGGAACCUAAUUAGUAAAGCGUCAUCAGAUGAGACUGAGAGUGGUGAAUCUUAAUCAGCAGGGUAUGCAUGAGCUAGUCGUUCGUUCACAGGUUAUUACCCUAGGACGUAGAUGUCGUAGGCGUUAGCCCUUGUGUCCAGCCAAUCCUCCAAGUCCAAGCCAUCGGAUGGUGUAACGCCGCCGACAUUCCAGGUGCUGGCAAACACACUUCAGAUGCCCAGGUGAAAAAAGAAAGAUCAGGCCAUCAGGGGAUGCAUGCAUGAGAAGGCUAUGACGAAUGGAAGGAAAAAGUAGGACGAAAAAUGCAAGGCGCGCGGCAGUGCAGGUUACCUGUACACAAGUGUAUCCUUGUUCCCAUUCAAGGGUCUCUUCCCCAAGGUUUCAGAAACCCCAGAUACAGAUCCGUGGCCAUGCAGUUGCUGGCAGCGGUGCAGCAGCUUGUUUGUCACCAGCCUUGACCCGCGGGUGAUCUACAACAAGAACGGCAUACAAUUGUUGUAUGCUUCAGCUUUGCUAACAGAGACGAGAGAAACGAAUAGAUAUACAGGUGCGUGUCUGCUCAUCACUGGCCGGUCUCUCACCUUCCUGUUCUCUCCCAUGGCUUCCUUGUUUAAUAGUAGCAUGCAGGAGCGAGCAUUCAUGCAUGCACGACCAUGUAGUAACCGAACAUGGCAAGGCGCUGCAUGCGUUAUAUAUAACUAAAGGAAACAGCAAGGAAACAAAGGGAGAAAACCAGCAACUGUGAUGUCGACAUAUCAAGCAGAGCUCUUCAGAACAUCCACACAGUAUACUGCGUGUCAAGGUUUUUAUGGACCAGCCUGGUCACCUGCUGGCUCUCAUCGUAAUAACAAAGACAGGCAGACAACAGCUAAAUUUUUUAUUUUUUUUCCAGCAUUGCCUGCGCCGGCCCACUGCAUGCAGUGCAAAUACAUGAAGAUUAACAUGCUAUCUUUUUUUCUUUCUAACAAAUGGCACACAAGAAGCAAUAUGGGUAUGCAAUCCAGAGUGAUCUGAUUGGCAAGCUGCACUGUCAUAUGCCUGAUGGGUUUGGCUGGGUAGUAAGACCACCACCGUGCUGUGUGCCUGUGUUGAGUAAAGGCCGGGCGGGAAGAGACAAAGGCACACUUGCGCAACUUGUCUACCUAACAUAUGUUGUUAUUGUUAUCUGUUUCUUAUGCACUUGCGCUACCCUUGGGUUGUUUUUUUUUUUUGGCAAUCCAAUCACGCAACUUGCGUCUUUAUUUUUGCAAGGGUUUUGGACUCUUGUCCCUAUAUUUUUCUUCUGUGUGUGUUGUUUGAAAAAAAAAACACAGAUAUAUAGAUAUCUCAAGGCUGUACACUACCGGCUUCUUUGCUGCGUACGUGAUAGAUCGAUCUUGCAGGUAGCGUAGGCCGGCUUUAUAGGCCUGAAAAAACAAUUCUGCUAGGGCGUUAAUGCGCUUAAUUAUGCGCAGUUUCUUAACGCAAGUGUGCUAGUAUGCUUACCCUCUCCCUGACUCCGCAAAAGGAGCAUUCUUAAUUUCUUAUUAUCAGGCUGGCUGUGUGCUUCUAUCUUCAGCAGAUAUUUCAAAAGGAGCAUUCUUGUAAAACAUGGUGAGUUCCUGGGCCAACUAAACUAGAUAUUUCAAAUUUCUUAUCAGGCUGGCUGUGUGCUUCUAUCUUCAGCAGAUAUUUCAAAAGGAGCAUUCUUGUAAAACAUGGUGAGUUCCUGGGCCAACUAAACUAGAUAUUUCAAAUUUCUUAUCAGGCUGGCUGUGUGCUUCUAUCUUCAGCAGAUAUUUCAAAAGGAGCAUUCUUGUAAAACAUGGUGAGUUCCUGGGCCAACUAAACUAGAUAUUUCAAAUUUCUUAUCAGGCUGGCUGUGUGCUUCUAUCUUCAGCAGAUAUUUCAAAAGGAGCAUUCUUGUAAAACAUGGUGAGUUCCUGGGCCAACUAAACUAGAUAUUUCAAAGUUCGGUCCAGCAGGGAAAAAAUAUGGAGGAUUGAAAAGAUGAAGAAGAAAAGAGACCGGCAAGCACCUACCUCUAUAGCAUCAGACGGAGAGCCAGGGAAGCAGGAAGGAAGGAUGGUCCCACCCACGUAGGGAUGAAAGUGGUAAUCUGAACUGUUAGAACAAAUUUAAUAUUUUAAAAUAGAUAUGUAUAAAAUUUGAUGUUCAUCUUUUUUUAUGUUAUCAAGCACAUUAGUACAAAUAUGAAUAAAA
Molecule: long non-coding RNA, 2663 nt
Organism: Zea mays
Lineage: Eukaryota; Viridiplantae; Streptophyta; Magnoliopsida; Poales; Poaceae
Exons: 3
Source: RefSeq, a predicted model, not a curated record